CCUACGGGGGGCUGCAGUGAGGAAUAUUGGUCAAUGGCCGGAAGGCUGAACCAGCCAAGCCGCGUGAAGGACGACGGUGCCAAGCAUUGUAAACUUCUUUUGUCAAGGGACAAAAUCAGGCUCGAGAGCCUGACCGAGGGUACUUGAAGAAUAAGCAUCGGCUAAUUCCGUGCCAGCAGCCGCGGUAAUACGGAGGAUGCGAGCGUUAUCCGGAUUUAUUGGGUUUAAAGGGGGCGUAGGCGGCCGGUUAAGUCAGCGGUAAAAGCCCGGGGCUCAACCCCGGCGAGCCGUUGCAACUGGCUGUCUUGAGAUGUCGGGAGGUAUGCGGAAGGCGUGGUGUAGCGGUGAAAUGCUUAGAUAUUGCGAAGAACUCCGAUUGCGAAGGCAGCAUACCGGCGGCGAUCUGACGCUGAGGCACGAAAGCGUGGGUAUCGAACAGGAUUAGAUACCCCGGUAGUC
Molecule: ribosomal RNA, 459 nt
Filed under: uncultured bacterium
Lineage: Bacteria
Description: partial 16S ribosomal RNA
Rfam family: Bacterial small subunit ribosomal RNA
Source: RNAcentral